GCAGAUUAUUCAUAUAUUCUUUCGAUACUUUUUAGUUUUUACCUCUCAUUCCUAUCUACGGCCAAUCUUUGUGCCCUUUUUCGCCUCUCAUCUCUUGUUUGUUUCAUUGAUUUUGAAAAAGAAAAUAGAAAAUCGAACCCAAUUUAUCAUUUUUUUUUUGGUUGCAUUGGAUCAUGGGAUUUAAAUCUUUGUUCAACAGGAAGAAGAAACAACGCCUUCCGAUGACUGCCACAAACUCGAUGACUAUCAACUCCCGUUCAUCCUCCUUGAAUUCCAGAUCGCAGAUCGAGGAGGAGCUCGAACAAGUUUUCAAGAAAUUCGACGUUAAUGGCGACGGAAAGAUCUCGUCUUCCGAGUUGGGUUCAAUUAUGGGCAGUCUCGGCCAGCCAGCGACGGAUGAAGAGCUUGAGAUCAUGAUCAAGGAGGUGGAUGCCGACGGCGAUGGAUUCAUCAACCUGAAAGAAUUCAUUGAACUAAACACGAAGGAUAUCGACUCGGAUGAGGUGCUCGAGAAUCUCAAGGACGCGUUCUCGGUUUUCGACAUUGACAAGAAUGGCUCGAUAUCAGCCGAGGAAUUGCAGAAUGUGUUGAAGAGUCUUGGAGAGGAAUGCACAUUGUCCGAGUGCAAGAAGAUGAUAAGUGGGGUGGAUGCAGAUGGCAAUGGCAUGAUCAGUUUUGAUGAGUUUAAGGUCAUGAUGAUGAUGGGAUCGCGGUUUGACGCCACCGUGGAACCCAAGAUUGGUUGAUUCUGGAUAGUAUUAGAAAGGAAAGAUUAUUGAUUCUACACAAUCUCUAUUUUUAUGUUUAUAUAUUUGUUUCCCUAUGAUCUUUUGAGGUAGUGAAUAGAGAUUGAUUCUUCUUAACUUUGGCAUCCGAUUGUUUAAAUUGAAGGAUAUUUGAGUUUUUGAGUUUUUAAUUACAUCAAUUUGAUUUCAUAAGGAACUGAAUCGUAUGACCCAAUGAAUUGUUGCUUAAUCAAUAUGUUCAGUAUUUUUGCCAGUUUUGUAGAUUUAAUCGAUAUUUUUGCUCCUUUUCAUGAGAUGGAAUCUUUGUAAAUUUGAUUACUAUUCUUUAGUAUUAUUUGUCGGUUCCAAAAUUAAUUGCUUGAAUGAUUGAGGCCAGAACAUGUUUUUUUUCUUAGUAAAUUAUUCUUUUUCCAUAUCUUUGUUUACAGGAAUCUUAAGAUGUUUUUUGCGUUUUCAUGGGAGCGAAGGGCAGUGUUCUUAUCAUGAAAAUAUGUGGAAAGGUUAACAACUAUUUUCCCCAACUUUUCAUAGCUAGGAUUAUUAUUUAUACAAAUCUUUAGAAAUAUUGAAAUUUUGUUUGAAUUUUUAUUUGAUUCUCAUAAUUUAAGUAAAUUUGGUUCUCCAUGACUCAAGUGAAAAUCUUCAUCAGCAAUUGAUGCAAAGGCUGAAAAUUUAGGUGCUUCCAUGAGAGAGGUCGUUGAAGGGACAAAUUUAUUAUUUCUUUUAUAGAAAGGAUUUGUGAUUGUGG
RNAcentral lists this long non-coding RNA (1494 nucleotides) under Olea europaea subsp. europaea. Lineage: Eukaryota; Viridiplantae; Streptophyta; Magnoliopsida; Lamiales; Oleaceae. The record is from RNAcentral.